UAGGGAAUUGUUCGCAAUGGGCGAAAGCCUGACGACGCAACGCCGCGUGGAGGACGAAGAUCUUCGGGUCGUAAACUCCUUUCGAUCGGGAAGAAUGGCUUCCGGGUUAACAGCCCGGAGGAAUGACGGUACCGAGAGAAGAAGCCCCGGCUAACUCUGUGCCAGCAGCCGCGGUAAGACAGAGGGUGCAAACGUUGUUCGGAAUUACUGGGCGUAAAGCGCGUGUAGGCGGCUUGGCAAGUCGGGUGUGAAAGCCCUGGGCUCAACCCAGGAAGUGCACUCGAAACUGCUUCGCUCGAGUAUCGGAGAGGAAAGCGGAAUUCUCGGUGUAGAGGUGAAAUUCGUAGAUAUCGAGAGGAACACCGGUGGCGAAGGCGGCUUUCUGGACGAUUACUGACGCUGAGACGCGAAAGCGUGGGGAGCAAA
Molecule: ribosomal RNA, 426 nt
Filed under: uncultured bacterium
Lineage: Bacteria
Description: bacterial SSU rRNA
Rfam family: Bacterial small subunit ribosomal RNA
Source: RNAcentral